AAUAAGAAAUUAAACGUUAAUUUGAAAUUAAUAAGAAUUACAUUUUCUAAUUAAAAUUAUUU
Molecule: transfer RNA, 62 nt
Filed under: Romanomermis iyengari
Lineage: Eukaryota; Metazoa; Nematoda; Enoplea; Mermithida; Mermithidae
Description: tRNA-Ser
Source: RNAcentral